RNAcentral lists this transfer RNA (86 nucleotides) under Planctomycetota bacterium. RNAcentral's name for it is "tRNA-Thr". The record is from RNAcentral. Lineage: Bacteria; Pseudomonadati; Planctomycetota.
GCAACUGCUGUUCCGUACGAUGAUUGCGAGAUUCGACCGGUGCUUUCGUAAAGCACAGGUCGGGGGUUCGAGUCCCCCGGGUGGCU